RNAcentral lists this unclassified non-coding RNA (151 nucleotides) under soil metagenome. RNAcentral describes it as "partial internal transcribed spacer 1". The record is from RNAcentral.
CCGAGUUAUACAACUCAUCAACCCUGUGAACAUACCUAUAACGUUGCCAUCGGCGGGAACAGACGGCCCCGUAACACGGGCCGCCCCCGCCAGAGGACCCCCUAACUCUGUUUCUAUAAUGUUUCUUCUGAGUAAACAAGCAAAUAAAUUA